ACCUUGGUGGUGUAGUGGCAGCACGCGUCCCCGGUAUAGAUGAAACACGGGGUCGACUCCCGUCAAAGAUC
Molecule: non-coding RNA, 71 nt
Organism: Parelaphostrongylus tenuis
Lineage: Eukaryota; Metazoa; Nematoda; Chromadorea; Rhabditida; Metastrongylidae
Source: the annotation of a GenBank genome assembly